CCUACGGGUGGCUGCAGUGGGGAAUAUUGGACAAUGGGGGCAACCCUGAUCCAGCCAUGCCGCGUGUGUGAAGAAGGCCCUCGGGUUGUAAAGCACUUUCAGUGAGGAAGAACGCCUAGUGGUUAAUACCCAUCAGGAAAGACAUCACUCACAGAAGAAGCACCGGCUAACUCCGUGCCAGCAGCCGCGGUAAUACGGAGGGUGCGAGCGUUAAUCGGAAUUACUGGGCGUAAAGCGCGCGUAGGUGGCUUGAUAAGCCGGUUGUGAAAGCCCCGGGCUCAACCUGGGAACGGCAUCCGGAACUGUCAAGCUAGAGUGCAGGAGAGGAAGGUAGAAUUCCCGGUGUAGCGGUGAAAUGCGUAGAGAUCGGGAGGAAUACCAGUGGCGAAGGCGGCCUUCUGGACUGACACUGACACUGAGGUGCGAAAGCGUGGGUAGCAAACAGGAUUAGAUACCCUUGUAGUC
Molecule: ribosomal RNA, 465 nt
Filed under: Vreelandella stevensii
Lineage: Bacteria; Pseudomonadati; Pseudomonadota; Gammaproteobacteria; Oceanospirillales; Halomonadaceae
Description: partial 16S ribosomal RNA
Rfam family: Bacterial small subunit ribosomal RNA
Source: RNAcentral